This 482-nucleotide ribosomal RNA is filed under the name uncultured bacterium. RNAcentral's name for it is "partial 16S ribosomal RNA". It matches the Rfam family "Bacterial small subunit ribosomal RNA", at positions 30 to 507 of the family's 1533-position model. The record is from RNAcentral.
AUUGAACGCUGGCGGCAUGCUUUACACAUGCAAGUCGAACGGUAACAGGCCGCAAGGUUCUGACGAGUGGCGAACGGGUGAGUAAUGCAUCGGAACGUGCCCAGUCGUGGGGGAUCACUACUCGAAAGGGUAGCUAAUACACCCUACGAUCUAUGGAUGAAAGCGGGGGACCGUAGGGCCUCGUGGGAUCGUAUCGGCCGAUGUCAGAUUAGGUAGUUGGUGGGGUAAAGGGUCACCAAGGCAACGAUAUGUAGCGGGUCUGAGAGGACGAGCAGCCACACUGGGACUGAGACACGGUCCAGACUCCUACGGGAGGCAGCAGUGGGGAAUGUUGGACAAUGGGCGCAAGCCUGAUCCAGCAAUGCCGCGUGCGGGAAGAAGGCCUUCGGGUUGUAAACUGCUUUUGUACGGAACGAAAAGGCUCUGGUUAAUACCCGGGGCUAAUGACGGUACCGGAAGAAUAAGCACCGGCUAACUACGUG